Molecule: long non-coding RNA, 500 nt
Organism: Sapajus apella (tufted capuchin)
Lineage: Eukaryota; Metazoa; Chordata; Mammalia; Primates; Cebidae
Exons: 4
Source: RefSeq, a predicted model, not a curated record
ACUGGAGUCCUUGGCUUUUCCGCGGCCACGGGAGGUGAAGGGAAGCGUCAGUCGCUAGCCUCCCUGAGCCGGCUCGGCCAGCGCGGGUGCUCAGGAACUUCUGUCCCGUGGGAUCUGAGAGGUUCUGGGUCAGAUGGUACAAGUUCAGACUGUGGUGCCAAACACCGAAGUCCAGUUCAUUGUCUGUCUUUAGGAAUAGCACUAAACUAUUGCUGAACAGAGAUUUGGACACUGAAGUGAAAUGGACUGUGAGGUCCUUACUCAUUAAGGAAGAAACUCACUGGUCAAUGUGAUAAAUAAAUGCUUUCUCAGAGAUGCUGCAGGCAUGAGCUUUUCUAAUGAGACGUUUAUGAAGAAUCAAUGAGAUCUCUACUAACUUCCAGAGACAAGAAUCUCUGAAAGUAUAAUUAUGAAGAAACUGAUCCUUGGAGACUGAAUAAAAAUCAGUAUGAACAACAAAAAGGUGUUUUUUUCAGUUUCCUAUCUUGGCUGAUAUUAGC